This 520-nucleotide ribosomal RNA is filed under the name uncultured Glomus. RNAcentral describes it as "SSU rRNA". It matches the Rfam family "Eukaryotic small subunit ribosomal RNA", at positions 569 to 1092 of the family's 1831-position model. The record is from RNAcentral. Lineage: Eukaryota; Fungi; Glomeromycota; Glomeromycetes; Glomerales; Glomeraceae.
AGCAGCCGCGGUAAUUCCAGCUCCAAUAGCGUAUAUUAAAGUUGUUGCAGUUAAAAAGCUCGUAGUUGAAUUUCGGGAUCAAUUUAUUGGUCGUGCUAUUGUACGUACUGGUAUUAUUGAUUUCUACCUUCUGACGAACCAUGAUGUCAUUAAUUUGGUGUCUUGGGGAAUCAGGACUGUUACUUUGAAAAAAUUAGAGUGUUUAAAGCAGGCUCACGCUUGAAUACAUUAGCAUGGAAUAACGAAAUAGGACGUUUGAUUCUAUUUUGUUGGUUUCUAGGAUCGACGUAAUGAUUAAUAGGGAUAGUUGGGGGCAUUAGUAUUCAAUUGUCAGAGGUGAAAUUCUUGGAUUUAUUGAAGACUAACUACUGCGAAAGCAUUUGCCAAGGAUGUUUUCAUUAAUCAAGAACGAAAGUUAGGGGAUCGAAGACGAUCAGAUACCGUCGUAGUCUUAACCAUAAACUAUGCCGACUAGGGAUCGGAUGAUGUUAAUUUUUAAUGACUCAUUCGGCGCCUUAAC